Molecule: non-coding RNA, 28 nt
Filed under: Homo sapiens (human)
Lineage: Eukaryota; Metazoa; Chordata; Mammalia; Primates; Hominidae
Source: RNAcentral
UGCUGUGGUUGCUCCCAUUACAACGGGC